Molecule: ribosomal RNA, 400 nt
Filed under: uncultured bacterium
Lineage: Bacteria
Description: bacterial SSU rRNA
Rfam family: Bacterial small subunit ribosomal RNA
Source: RNAcentral
UAGGGAAUAUUGCGCAAUGGGGGUAACCCUGACGCAGCAACGCCGCGUGAGUGAGGAAGGCCUUCGGGUUGUAAAGCUCUGUUCUUAAGGAAAAAUGAUUUAUGUGCAAAUAGUAUAUAGAUUUGAUGGUACUUGAGGAGAAAGCACCGGCUAACUUCGUGCCAGCAGCCGCGGUAAUACGAAGGGUGCAAGCGUUGUUCGGAUUUAUUGGGCGUAAAGGGCGUGUAGGCGGAAAAUUAAGUCAGGUGUGAAAUCUCGGGGCCUAACCCCGAAAUUGCGCCUGAAACUGUUUUUCUAGAAUUCCAAAGGGGGACAGGGAAUUUCGCAUGUAGGAGUAAAAUCCGUAGAGAUGCGAAGGAACACCUGAGGCGAAGGCGCUGUCCUGGUUGGAAAUUGACGC